GAUGAAGAACGUAGCGAAAUGCGAUAAGUAGUGUGAAUUGCAGAAUUCAGUGAAUCAUCGAAUCUUUGAACGCACAUUGCGCCCCUUGGUAUUCCAUGGGGCAUGCCUGUUCGAGCGUCAUUUGUACCUUCAAGCUUUGCUUAGUGUUGGGUGUUUGUCUCGCCUUUGCGUGUAGACUCGCCUUAAAAUAAUUGGCAGCCGGCGUAUUGAUUUCGGAGCGCAGUACAUCUCGCGCUUUGCACUCAUAACGACAGCGUCCAAAAGUACAUUUUACACUCUUGACCUCGGAUCAGGUAGGGAUACCCGCUGAACUUAAGCAUAUCAAUAAGCGGAGGA
This 336-nucleotide unclassified non-coding RNA is filed under the name soil metagenome. Its description in RNAcentral is "partial contains 5.8S ribosomal RNA, internal transcribed spacer 2, and large subunit ribosomal RNA". The stretch from base 1 to 120 matches the Rfam family "5.8S ribosomal RNA", at positions 35 to 154 of the family's 154-position model. The record is from RNAcentral.